CCCAGCAGUAGUCAGCUGUCCAGAUUGUUCCUGUGAUGGUGUUACACUGCUGGGAGAGAAAUGUCCUGUCUUCUGCCUCCAGUUGCCCCUGUCACUGUUCUGGUGGCAUCAGGCACUGGUGCAAGGCAGAACUGUGCUUCCUUGAGAGUGUGCUAAGCAUCCACUUUGGCUGCUUAGUUCUAGUGUGGGAGCAGACACA
This 199-nucleotide small nucleolar RNA is filed under the name Myotis davidii. Its description in RNAcentral is "Small nucleolar RNA SNORA74". It matches the Rfam family "Small nucleolar RNA SNORA74". From Rfam's summary of the family: U19 belongs to the H/ACA class of snoRNAs. snoRNAs bind a number of proteins (including dyskerin, Gar1p and Nop10p in the case of the H/ACA class) to form snoRNP complexes. This class are thought to guide the sites of modification of uridines to pseudouridines by forming direct base pairing interactions with substrate RNAs. Targets may include ribosomal and spliceosomal RNAs but the exact functions of many snoRNAs, including U19, are not confirmed. The record is from Rfam by way of RNAcentral. Lineage: Eukaryota; Metazoa; Chordata; Mammalia; Chiroptera; Vespertilionidae.